Long non-coding RNA from Brassica napus (rape), 3439 nucleotides. RefSeq lists it as uncharacterized. The transcript has 3 exons. Lineage: Eukaryota; Viridiplantae; Streptophyta; Magnoliopsida; Brassicales; Brassicaceae. The record is from RefSeq and is a predicted model, not a curated record.
UUACAAGAAAUAUGAGUAUUGGUAGCAGUUCGCGGUAGCACUAAUUCACCAACUGCUAUUAAAAGUAGCAAUUUCGGACAACAACUUUAUCGUAGCACUAAAUUAGUGCUAGGAUCAAAUUUUAUUAAAAAGAGAAAUAAAAGACGCGGAUUUUGUUUAAGGUAACAAUUUUGUGCUAAAAUUUUAAUUUUAUCCGCCAAAAUAAAAAAAAAAUACUUCGCAAAACACUUGCCCAAUUCAUUUCCUUUACUUCUCCGAAUACAUCACGGAAAAAACAAGACUACCAAAGCUCUCCCUUUUUUUCUUUUUUUUUGAAACACACCAAAGCUCUCUGUAUUCGAAUCGUGAUAAACCUAAAAUCACAAAGUCACAAGAUCUACACACAGAGCUUGACUCAAAUCAACCUCUCACGAUUCAACCCUCUCUCUCUCUCUCUCUCUCUAGGCCGUGAUGAAAGCUUUGUCUACAACGCUUGACUCGAGUCAGAUUCGAGCCACAAUCAGAGAUGGCGAGUGACAAAUAGAGGUGGCGGAGCAGUGCCGGUGGCAAGUCGGAAGACGUCUGUCCUUCAUAAGCAGAGGACGAGAAGACGCUUCAAUGGACAACGACUCAGAUCUACUCCAUAUUCAGAUGGCUCAUCCGCCGCUGCAUCUCCGGCUUUGUCACCGUGUCUCCGUUGUGUCUCCGGCUUCGUCGCUGCGUCUCCGGACUAUCCCUCUCAGGUGGACCUUUGCUGUUAAUGGAGCUUGCGUUUUUGUUUAGAGGAGUUGGUGCUGAAGUUGUUUAGAGCACAAAUCAGAAACCAGUUGAAGCAGAUGAAGUGGUUAAUGUUUUGGAACACAAGAUGUUGGAUCGAGGAGUUUAGGUUUGAGAUUAGCUGCUGUUGAAUCUUAGGUUUUUUUUGUUGUUGUGUUGCUCUGUUCUGUGUUCUUCGCUUAGCAAUUGGCUUAUGGUUAAGUAUUUUUCUUGGUUUAAAGCUCGUGACUUUAGAAGAAGGGAAUCUGAGAUUCGUGAAGUAGUUUUUGGUUGUGUAUUGUUAGCACGCUGGUGAUGAUUACUGAUGGGUUUUCUACUUGGAUCUGCUUCUUGCUGGAGAUUAAGUUCUGAAAACGUAAACUUAUGUGUUGAUUUAUCAAGUUAUUUAGUUGGUGCUUAUGUUUUCCUAUCUUAGUCAACAGAUAUACAAAGUCGCUUCCGUAUAUCACUUUAUCAGCUGGUUUAGUUUAAGCUUGGUUUCUAGUACUUGAGUGGCUGGAACUUGUGGCGUAUAUGUUGAUUUGUGGAGUAGUAAUGAAGAUAGUCUAGAAAGUAACACUUGAAUGUCUUUGGCUAAUUGUGGAUGUUCUCUGAAUGUGUUUUAGGUGAAACUGAUCCAUGCUUCUAAGACUAUUGCUUACCUUCGGGAGUAGCUGUUUCACGACAUGGAGGAAGUGCUUGGAGGAACAAAACAUGGAGCUGCUGAAGACUAGUGGCAAAGUGAUUUUGCUAGUUUUGAAAGUUAUGUAGUAGGUUGAGUUAUUAGACGUGGUAUGUGUAUUUAAGAUAAGUUAUGCUGUACAAAAUUAUGUAGAAUAUUAUUCAAAUAAAUGAAAUAAAAUAGCAUUACAAAAUACAGGAUCAAUUGAUGUCGUUCUUAGUUUUUUUUUUAAACAAAACCCUAAACCCUAAUCAUGUUUUUAAAAUUUAAAUCUCAAACACUAAAUAUGUAUUUGUAUUUUAAUUUAUAUUUUCGAAUGUAAAACUAAAGGAUAAAAAUGAUAAUUAGAGUUUUGUUAUAAAAUAUUUUAUAUAUAAUAGUUCAGGGGUUUAUAUGUUUAGUGUGAUAAUAUUAUACAGAGUUUGGUAUACUUACUACCCUAAACCCCAAAACUUAAUUCCAAACCUUAUAUCAUACUUUAAAUCCUAAACCUUAAAACUUAACCUCAAACCGCAUUCAACACUUCAAACCCUACGCAGUACAAACCUUAAUCUUUAAUUGAUACUCUUAACUUUUAACUUUUAUGAUAAAUCAUUUAUUUCAAGUUGAAUACUAUAAGGUUAUUAAAAUAAAUAUUUUCAUAUAGUCAUUAAUCAUAAUUGCCACAUCAAAGUUUGCUUCCAUCUAAAAAUAUAAAAUUAUAAACCCUAAACCCUUAUACAUUCAAAACUCCAAACCCUAAAUCAUAAAUAGUCUUUUUCAAACAUUGAGAAAAACUUAAUCACCAAACUCUAAACCAUAAACACAUAAACUCUAAAUCAUAAAAUAAAAUAAUAAAUCUAAAUACACCUAAAAUUGUAAUUAAGAAAUUAUAACAGUCAACUAUAUUAAACAUAUCAAUUAAAAUUAUUAAAAGAAAACGUUGCAUAACAGAGGAAAAUAAAAAACACAAAACAAAAAACAUCUCAUUGGCUAAUCUUUAUACACAAGGGAUUACCUAUUUUCAUUUUCGUCCUUUAGAUCAGAUCCAAUCCAAUCCGAUGGAGCAAUAUUUUUUCUUUUAUUUUAUCGGUUUUAUUUCUCAUUGGUUGAUACGUUGUGGUGAGGAUAACCAACUUUUAAUCUCUACCAUUGAUCAAAUCUUAUCUAACGGUUUCUGUUUCUUCUCGUCACAAGUGCCUCUCUCAUCAAUCUAUCACAAAGGCGUGGAUCACCAUUCUUUAAUAUCAACCGUUGAUAAGUAUUCAUCAAAGGGAUCAUAUUAAUUUAGUUCUGUUGUCUCUUUCUUCUUUUAUUCUUCCUCCACACAAUUCUCUUCUUUGUUUUUCCUAUACUCCUUCUGUUCUUCGAUCUGCUCAUUUCAUCUCUCUUUCUCGUUUGCUCAUCUAUCUCAUCUCUGUUUUUAUCCUUUGCUCAUCUUUUCUCUCCUCUUUUUUUUUUCCAAGAAAGUGAAGAGGACCAGUGCUGUGUCGGGUCUGUCCGUGAGCUUCGUCUCCGUUGACCUCCUAACCACACCACCACCACCAUCACCAUCUAUCCCAUCCGCUCGUCACCACCACCAUCAUCUCAUCACUCGUCGUCACCACCACUGGUGGACAAGGCAUAGGAGCUUGAUGGAGAAGGUGGACAAUGCAAAUGCGACCGGAGUAAGCGAAUAGAGGUUCUGGAGGCUGGAGUAAGAGAACAGAGGCUUGAGGCGGAUACUCUGGAGGCUGGAGUCUGGAGGCGGAGGAUUAGGGUUACAAAGCUGGAGGCGGCGGAUACUCUGGAGGCUGGAGUCUGGAGGCGGAGGAUUAGGGUUACAAAGCUGGAGGCGGAGGAUUAGGGUUACAAAGCUGGAGGCGGAGGCUCUGGGAGCGGCUUAGGUUUUAGGUUUAGGACCUUAGGUUAAUUAGUUUUUGGUUUACUGUUUUUAAAUUAGUUUUUGGUUUAAUGUUUUUAAUUAGUUUUUGGUUUAAUGUUUUCCUUAAUUAUUUGUAUACUGAUUCUAAUUAAUAAAUAAAAUUUAAUUUUAAUUCUGAA